This 224-nucleotide long non-coding RNA is filed under the name Elaeis guineensis (African oil palm). RNAcentral's name for it is "long non-coding RNA (EGUI_LNC059944)". Lineage: Eukaryota; Viridiplantae; Streptophyta; Magnoliopsida; Arecales; Arecaceae. The record is from RNAcentral.
AAUCUCGAGAGGAUGCCACGGACCAAGAGGAGUAUGAGGGGGAAAAUAGCGGCCUGCGAAUUUUCUGGCUGUCGAACUGUCACUGAGGGUUCCCAUCGCCUCAAAGGGGGCUCGAGGGAGAAUUCCUUCAACAACAAGGAUUUAAUAACGGGGACAAUCGGUGAGCGCGUUCCGCUCGAGAAUUUCGGAGUAGUUGAACGGGGUGACACCGGUCAAGGGGGCAG